Long non-coding RNA from Pogoniulus pusillus (Red-fronted tinkerbird), 2441 nucleotides. RefSeq lists it as uncharacterized. The transcript is spliced from 2 exons. The record is from RefSeq and is a predicted model, not a curated record. Lineage: Eukaryota; Metazoa; Chordata; Aves; Piciformes; Lybiidae.
UUGUAGGGGCUGUUGCCUUGCAAUCGAUAUGUAGGCGAUUGGAACACAGCGGGUAAGACACCGGUCAGCCCAAGGACACUGUGUCCGCUUCGUGCUUUCUAUGAAAAAAAGCAGAGUUGGCCUGAGGAUGUUGCGUCCUUGUGAUACAGCUGUGCAAAGUAAAACAAGUAAUGAAUCAGUCAUGAAUAUACCAUAGAACAAAGGAUCUGCACAUCUGGAAAUGUAGGGUUUGAUAUAUGAGCACACGUACUGCUUAUAAAAAUACCUUUUUGUAUCUACUAAUGAUUAUGCUUUAAACCACAAAAAUGUAUUGCAUGGACCAAUUAGAAAUCGACAUGUAAUCCUGUAAUAGUAUAAAAAGCCUUCUGAUUUGUGUAUUAAAUGUCUUACAUUUACAAUCCAUAUUGGAUUCUGUAAGUCCAUUUCCUCAACUUUGGGAACAGUCAGCAUGCUAACAGCGCCUAACAGCGACAUCUGGUGACCCCCGACGUGAUCAGCAAGAGACCUGAUACCCGGGAAGAGAGCUGAGCUGACUGCAAAGCGGGGAAAAAGAAAAGAAAUUCCGCGGCGGCUGCGGCCGGACGUCCGAGAGAGGCGUGAGUGGUACCACGGAUUUUCGACUCAGCGGAGGACGGAGAGCGGUGGUUGCCAGCCAAGUGGGUGUGACCCUGGCUACAUGCUGAAACCAAGGAAAACAAGGAGGAUGAUCAAACGGCGAUAGAAGAAAUCGCUGACUUAGAAGCUGCACACAACGUCACCAGAGACAACUGAUCUGAGCUAAAUGUUGAACAAUAUGUAUUGGUUAUCUGCUAUUGUAAUUAUUUUUGUGGUGCAGGAGAAUUUUGGGUGGGGUAGUGAAGACAACUUUUGGGUGAAUUGGGCAAAGGAGACAAAUAACCCAUCCUUUUGCUUACACUUAUCAGCAGCCACAGACCCAUUUAAAACAUGCCUGAUAGGGUUGCCAUUUGAUGAUCAACGCACUUUGGUAGCCUCCUUUUCAUCUCUCACACAUCAAGAUUGUUCUACAGCAAAAAGUAUAAGUCAUUGUAUGGCAUUAAUAGUUGCAAGCCUCAAUGACCCUUUACCAUGGGAUCCUCAAGAGUUCAACCUGUUAGGAAGUCGAAUGCCAAAUCAGUCAGGAUGUCUGAUAUUUGGCUCGUACAAUCUGACGAAUCGUCAAAUAACAGAUCUAACAUCCUAUCAUUUUCCUUAUUGGAGUACCUCUGAUUUUUGUGCUAAAGACACGGUUUAUGGUUGGAACACAAAUGGUAUGUGCCUUAACAUUACCAAAGCCUUAAGAUUGCCUAGAAAUGUGUUCCUGAUCUGUGGUAGAAGAGCGUGGCCUGGAAUCCCAAAAGAAAGUAACGGAGGGCCAUGUUACAUUGGUCACCUUUCUUUGCUAACUCCUACUUCAGAAUUUAUCCGAAAUCAUAUUGCAAGUAGUGCUACUCUAUUAAGAAAUCGUAGAAAUGUAGAAAUGUUAACCACUGAUUGUAAUGAUGAAGUGGAACUUUGGUCUCAUACAGCAAGAGUUUUUGGAGCAUUGUUUCCUCCUAUAGGAACAGCACAUGCCUUGUCAGCCAUUCAGAGAUUAGCAUGUUGGACAGCAAAACAAGCUAAUGUUACUACUAGUGUUAUUUCUCAGCUUGCAGUAGAUCAAAAUAGUUUGCGAAAGGCUACCCUGCAAAAUAGAGCAGCUAUAGAUUACUUGCUUUUAGUACAAGGAAAAGGCUGUGAAGAGGUAGAAGGAAUGUGUUGUUUUAACUUGUCUGAUCAUAGUGAUUCAAUCCAUAAAAAGGUAGACUGGCUUCAGCAUCAUACAGAGAGAAUUACAGCGAAUCAUAACCCCUUUGAUGAUUGGCUAAUGUCAUGGGGAAUUUCAGCUUGGGCAAAAGAGUUAAUCAAAACUGUAGGAAUAGUAUUGCUUAUUGUUAUUGUUGUGUUAUUUUUAGGACCCUGCAUCUUCCGAUGUCUAUCCUGGCAGAUGCAUCGGAUCGCUGCUACAGUGUUUGAAAAGAAAGGGGGAGAUGUGGGGAAUUUUGUAGGGGCUGUUGCCUUGCAAUCGAUAUGUAGGCGAUUGGAACACAGCGGGUAAGACACCGGUCAGCCCAAGGACACUGUGUCCGCUUCGUGCUUUCUAUGAAAAAAAGCAGAGUUGGCCUGAGGAUGUUGCGUCCUUGUGAUACAGCUGUGCAAAGUAAAACAAGUAAUGAAUCAGUCAUGAAUAUACCAUAGAACAAAGGAUCUGCACAUCUGGAAAUGUAGGGUUUGAUAUAUGAGCACACGUACUGCUUAUAAAAAUACCUUUUUGUAUCUACUAAUGAUUAUGCUUUAAACCACAAAAAUGUAUUGCAUGGACCAAUUAGAAAUCGACAUGUAAUCCUGUAAUAGUAUAAAAAGCCUUCUGAUUUGUGUAUUAAAUGUCUUACAUUUACAAUCCA